RNAcentral lists this ribosomal RNA (1813 nucleotides) under Triticum aestivum (bread wheat). RNAcentral's name for it is "partial small subunit ribosomal RNA". Lineage: Eukaryota; Viridiplantae; Streptophyta; Magnoliopsida; Poales; Poaceae. The record is from RNAcentral.
AGAUCUACCCUCACCUCGUAGGAAGGAAGUGGCCGCCGGCGAGCGGUACCUCGAAAGACGGACAAGAGAUGGCGUGGCGGCUGGCACUGCCGCUGCUGCUCUUCUACUCCCCCAUCCUCCUCUGCUCCUCCCAAGUCCAAGACAAUGAUCCCUCCAAACUGUUCAAGAGCGCCUCCGAGAUGAUGAGCCUAAGGAAAUACGACGGGGCGCUCGGUCUGCUCAACGCUAUCCUCGAGCUCGACCCCAACCAUUCCGAAGCUUACAGGCAGCGCGCAACAGUGCUUCGUCACAGAUGCAGACACAAGGAAGCUGAGAGUGACUAUAACAAAUUCCUGGAGCUCAAGCCCGGGACUGCUUCAGUGGAGAAGGAACUAGCUCAGCUGCUGCAGGCUCAAAACGCAUUGGAAUCCGCUUAUACCCAGUCUGAUGCUGGAGAAUUCUCAAAAGUCCUGGAGUACGUCAACAAAAUCGUGCUCGUCUUUUCUCCAGGUUGCUUAAAGGCAAAGCUUCUCAAGGCUAAAGCGUUGCUAGCACUGAAAGACUAUUCGAAUGUUAUUUCGGAGACAGGAUUUAUUCUCAAGGAAGAUGAAGAUAACUUGGAUGCGCUGUUACUUCGUGGUCGAGCAUACUAUUACCUUGCUGAUCAUGAUGUUGCCAACAGGCACUAUCAGAAAGGCCUACGUCUAGACCCCGAGCAUUCAGAAUUGAAGAAGGCAUAUUUUGGGUUGAAAAAACUUCUAAAGAAGACCAAAAGCGCUGAAGAAAAUGCUGCUAAGAGCAAGUUUCGCGUGGCUGUUGAGGACUACAAGGCAGCACUAGCAAUGGAUCCAGACCAUACUUUGUACAACGUACAACUUCAUCUUGGGCUCUGUAAGACUCUGGUUAAACUUGGAAGAGGCAAGGAGGCAAUCAGCACCUGUACGGAAGCACUCAGCAUAGAUGAAGAACUUGUUGAAGCUUUGUCACAGAGAGGUGAGGCUAAACUUCUAACGGAAGAUUGGGAAGGUGCAGUUGAGGAUCUAAAAGAGGCUGCCCAAAAAUCCCCACAGGACAUGGCAAUCCGAGAAGCGCUCAUGAAAGCCGAAAGGCAGCUGAAGCUGAGCAAAAGGAAAGACUGGUACAAGAUCCUGGGCAUCUCGAAGACAGCGUCGGCCGCGGACAUCAAGCGCGCGUACAAGAGGCUGGCGCUGCAGUGGCACCCGGACAAGAACGUGGAGAACCGCGAGGAGGCGGAGAACAUGUUCCGAGAGAUCGCCUCUGCAUACGAGGUACUGUUUUAAGUGAUGAAAAGGGAAAGAGAAAAACAAAUAGACACAGCAAGAUUGAUUGAACUAGGUGCGCGGCUUUGAUAUGAUGUUGUUUCUAACUGUAUGUGCGUCGUGUAUGUGCAGGUGCUUAGCGACGAGGACAAGCGUGUGAGGUACGACCGGGGAGAGGACCUGGAGGAGAUGGGCAUGGGGGGAGGCGGCGGCGGUGGCUUCGACCCGUUCGGCGGAGGCGGUGGGCAGCAGUACACGUUCCACCACGGCGGUGGGUUCCCCGGCGGCUUCCAGUUCAACUUCGGUUAAAAGCAGGCCAGGCUUACUGUUUAGUUUUCCUGUCCCGGUCUUUGGUUUAGGAGGGAGAGCUUAACGACAACAUGUGUUAAUUAUAUAUAUCUAGCUAAGAGCUUUUACUGUCUUGGCUCUUACUCUGGUUAAAGAAAGUUUUGCUUAAGCACCAAUUAUACAACAAAUUUUCCCUGAGAUUAAUUGUACUACUGUAUUAUGAUUAUAGCUGGUGAUUCUGUGAUGCAUCGACCAGUUGAUUGGAA